Molecule: ribosomal RNA, 484 nt
Filed under: uncultured bacterium
Lineage: Bacteria
Description: partial 16S ribosomal RNA
Rfam family: Bacterial small subunit ribosomal RNA
Source: RNAcentral
AUUGAACGCUGGCGGCAUGCUUUACACAUGCAAGUCGAACGGCAGCGCGGGCUUCGGCCUGGCGGCGAGUGGCGAACGGGUGAGUAAUGCAUCGGAACGUGCCCAGUAGUGGGGGAUAGCCCGGCGAAAGCCGGAUUAAUACCGCAUACGACCUGAGGGUGAAAGCGGGGGACCGAAAGGCCUCGCGCUAUUGGAGCGGCCGAUGUCGGAUUAGCUAGUUGGUGGGGUAAAGGCUUACCAAGGCGACGAUCCGUAGCUGGUCUGAGAGGACGACCAGCCACACGGGGACUGAGCCGCGGCCCAGACCCCUACGGGAGGCGGCGUGGGGGAUUUUUGGACAAGGGGGGCAACCCUGACCCACCCAUGCCGCGGGCGGAAAGAGGGCCUUCGGGUUCUAAACCGCUUUUGUUGGGGAAGAAAUACUCGGGGCUAAUCCCCCGGGGGGAUGACGGUCCCGAAAGAAAAAGCCCCGGCUAACUCCGUC